RNAcentral lists this unclassified non-coding RNA (402 nucleotides) under Hevea brasiliensis (rubber tree). Lineage: Eukaryota; Viridiplantae; Streptophyta; Magnoliopsida; Malpighiales; Euphorbiaceae. The record is from RNAcentral.
CCCCGACCCUCCACUUUGGUGUGUCGGUCUUUCGUGGAAGCUCUUUUGGGCGGAGCAGCAGCCAACGGCAUCCUUAUCGCCGUCGGCACAUGGACUGCGACGGGCAUAACACCAAGAGGCGCAGGUGAUCUAUCCUCCGAGUCAGGCUCUUCCUUUAGAGCAACCUCCUUCGCUGUGGGGUCUACCUUGUCCGGGUGUGCAUCUCCAGCCUCGCUGAUUCUGAGAUCAACGUUCCCAGUCUCAUCGUCUUCUUCAAGUUCUUGUUUCUGGAUUAUUGUUGCCAUCUCUGUAAAGGAGAACAGAUAAAAAGCGUCACAAGUUUUGGCAAACGUCACAGAAAGAAACGAAGGGAAGAGAGAGAGAGAGAGAGAGCACAGAAGGAAAGGAAGCAAUUAAGCGUGG